AUUGAACGCUGGCGGCAGGCCUAACACAUGCAAGUCGAACGAGUGGCGGACGGGUGAGUAAUGUCUGGGAAACUGCCUGAUGGAGGGGGAUAACUACUGGAAACGGUAGCUAAUACCGCAUACCAUCGGAUGUGCCCAGAUGGGCUUGGCUUGUUUGUGGGGUAACGGCUCACCAAGGCGACGAUCCCUAGCUGGUCUGAGAGGAUGACCAGCCACACGGGAACUGCGACACGGUCCAGACUCCUACGGUAGGCAGCAGUGGGGAAUAGUGCACAAUGGGCGCAAGGCUGAUGCAGCCAUGCCGCGUGUAUGCAGAAGGCCUUCGGGUUGUAAAGUACUUUCAGCGGGGAGGCGGUACCAGAAGAAGAAGCACCGGCUAACUCCGUGCCAGCAGCCGCGGUAAUAG
Molecule: ribosomal RNA, 406 nt
Filed under: uncultured bacterium
Lineage: Bacteria
Description: partial 16S ribosomal RNA
Rfam family: Bacterial small subunit ribosomal RNA
Source: RNAcentral